AGUUUGAUCCUGGCUCAGGAUGAACGCUGGCGGCGUGCCUAAUACAUGCAAGUAGAACGCUGAAGCUUGGUGCUUGCACCGAGCGGAUGAGUUGCGAACGGGUGAGUAACGCGUAGGUAACCUGCCUCUUAGCGGGGGAUAACUAUUGGAAACGAUAGCUAAUACCGCAUAAAAGUCGAUAUCGCAUGAUGUUGAUUUGAAAGGUGCAAUUGCAUCACUAAGAGAUGGACCCGCGUUGUAUUAGCUAGUUGGUGAGGUAACGGCUCACCAAGGCGACGAUACAUAGCCGACCUGAGAGGGUGAUCGGCCACACUGGGACUGAGACACGGCCCAGACUCCUACGGGAGGCAGCAGUAGGGAAUCUUCGGCAAUGGGGGUAACCCUGACCGAGCAACGCCGCGUGAGUGAAGAAGGUUUUCGGAUCGUAAAGCUCUGUUGUAAGAGAAGAACGAGUGUGAGAGUGGAAAGUUCACACUGUGACGGUAACUUACCAGAAAGGGACGGCUAACUACGUGCCAGCAGCCGCGGUAAUACGUAGGUCCCGAGCGUUAUCCGGAUUUAUUGGGCGUAAAGCGAGCGCAGGCGGUUAGAUAAGUCUGAAGUUAAAGGCUGUGGCUUAACCAUAGUACGCUUUGGAAACUGUUUAACUUGAGUGCAGAAGGGGAGAGUGGAAUUCCAUGUGUAGCGGUGAAAUGCGUAGAUAUAUGGAGGAACACCGGUGGCGAAAGCGGCUCUCUGGUCUGUAACUGACGCUGAGGCUCGAAAGCGUGGGGAGCAAACAAGAUUAGAUCCCCUGGUAGUCCCCGCCGUAAAC
This 814-nucleotide ribosomal RNA is filed under the name uncultured bacterium. RNAcentral describes it as "bacterial SSU rRNA". It matches the Rfam family "Bacterial small subunit ribosomal RNA", at positions 10 to 807 of the family's 1533-position model. The record is from RNAcentral.